GAACUAUCAAAGCCACGUGUUUUCAAUUCGUUGCUUUGGACUUGGGGGCUGCAGGCUUUUCUUCAAAGGUCAGCUCCCCUGAAAUGCAUCAGUGGUAUCUGGAGCGGAAACCGCCAGGUGUGAUAACAUCAUCUAUGCCUUUGGUAUGCCGCGCAUUGUGCUGCUUCCAAUGUGCCCAUUCUUGACAA
RNAcentral lists this unclassified non-coding RNA (188 nucleotides) under uncultured Inocybe. Its description in RNAcentral is "sequence contains ITS2". Lineage: Eukaryota; Fungi; Basidiomycota; Agaricomycetes; Agaricales; Cortinariaceae. The record is from RNAcentral.